Molecule: long non-coding RNA, 578 nt
Filed under: Heterocephalus glaber (naked mole-rat)
Lineage: Eukaryota; Metazoa; Chordata; Mammalia; Rodentia; Bathyergidae
Description: lncRNA (ENSHGLG00100049489.1)
Source: RNAcentral
GCCUGGCAGGGCGCGCGGCUGCCCGGCCUACACGUGGCGCCCUAACUUGUGCGAAAUUCCAGCGGCCUGAGAACACUCCGGAGUGCACCAGUGAGAACCAGGAGAGCCUCGGAGACAAAAACACUCUGCAAGCCCCACCGAAACCCCAAGGAAGGAAUCGGUGCGCCUGCCUGUCACUGUCCUCUUUAUGGAAGAAGACGGAGGGACUCCUGAAAUGUCUGGAAAUUCUGCUCAGCAUUCGGGGGCACCCCCACCCUGGAACUCAGUCCCUUGGGCGCAGCAAAGAAACGGAUUUAGUGCCAGAUAAAACAAGGGAUGUUAUGCUGAUGUGCCAAGAAUUUUAUAUCCCACCAAAAUCUUUGAUCUGUUUGCUAGGGCUUCUCACUAAAAGUCCCCAUUUUCUUGAAAUGUCUGUGAGGUUUUGAAGGAUGUGGACCCUUCCAGCCCACCAUGCCAGAGUACUUUAUUGGCCAGGGGUCGCUUCCUACAGGAUGUUGUUUCAAAUGAAUGGCUCCUGGUCUGGGUUUGGGGCUGUAGGAUUGUGGGUUCAACAUCAGAACUGUAUCUGACUGUUUUAG